UACGAAGGGGGCUAGCGUUGCUCGGAAUCACUGGGCGUAAAGCGCACGUAGGCGGAUUCUUAAGUCGGUGGUGAAAUCCUGGAGCUCAACUCCAGAACUGCCUUCGAAACUGGGAGUCUAGAGUUCGGAAGAGGUGAGUGGAACUGCGAGUGUAGAGGUGAAAUUCGUAGAUAUUCGCAAGAACACCAGUGGCGAAGGCGGCUCACUGGUCCGAUACUGACGCUGAGGUGCGAAAGCGUGGGGAGCAAACAGG
Molecule: ribosomal RNA, 253 nt
Filed under: uncultured bacterium
Lineage: Bacteria
Description: partial 16S ribosomal RNA
Rfam family: Bacterial small subunit ribosomal RNA
Source: RNAcentral